CCUACGGGAGGCAGCAGUGGGGAAUCUCGCGCAAUGGGCGAAAGCCUGACGCAGCCAUGCCGCGUGAAUGAUGAAGGUCUUAGGAUUGUAAAAUUCUUUCACCGGGGACGAUAAUGACGGUACCCGGAGAAGAAGCCCCGGCUAACUUCGUGCCAGCAGCCGCGGUAAUACGAAGGGGGCUAGCGUUGCUCGGAAUUACUGGGCGUAAAGGGAGCGUAGGCGGACAUUUAAGUCAGGGGUGAAAUCCCGGGGCUCAACCUCGGAAUUGCCUUUGAUACUGGGUGUCUUGAGUAUGAGAGAGGUGUGUGGAACUCCGAGUGUAGAGGUGAAAUUCGUAGAUAUUCGGAAGAACACCAGUGGCGAAGGCGACACACUGGCUCAUUACUGACGCUGAGGCUCGAAAGCGUGGGGAGCAAACAGGAUUAGAUACCCUGGUAGUCCACGCCGUAAACGAUGAUUGCUAGUUGUCGGGAUGCAUGCAUUUCGGUGACGCAGCUAACGCAUUAAGCAAUCCGCCUGGGGAGUACGGUCGCAAGNUUAAAACUUAAAGAGUAGUAGCGNGNGAGAGCGACGAGACGACGAGGAGGAG
This 589-nucleotide ribosomal RNA is filed under the name uncultured bacterium. RNAcentral's name for it is "bacterial SSU rRNA". It matches the Rfam family "Bacterial small subunit ribosomal RNA", at positions 338 to 943 of the family's 1533-position model. The record is from RNAcentral.